This 19-nucleotide microRNA is filed under the name Bos taurus (domestic cattle). RNAcentral describes it as "bta-miR-12063". The record is from miRBase by way of RNAcentral. Lineage: Eukaryota; Metazoa; Chordata; Mammalia; Artiodactyla; Bovidae.
ACUGGUCCAGGAAGAUUCU